Long non-coding RNA from Papaver somniferum (opium poppy), 1359 nucleotides. RefSeq lists it as uncharacterized. The transcript has 3 exons. The record is from RefSeq and is a predicted model, not a curated record. Lineage: Eukaryota; Viridiplantae; Streptophyta; Magnoliopsida; Ranunculales; Papaveraceae.
CAAAUUCUAGGGUUUAUUUCGUUUAAUUUUCUGGUUCCUUCAAAAGGGAUAAUCAAAAUCUCACAAUUUUAAGGCGAAAUGUUUCAAUCUUCCGAUGGUCUAAAAGAGUGAUUUAGUCGAGAGCGUAUGAGAAAUUUGGAAGGUGUCCUGAAUCUGCAGAUGCAGAUAGAUUGUAAAAGAGGCUAAAGAAAUGGGGGUUUGAUCCCUUCAAAAUUACGUUUCUUGUAGCUAUAAAAUUCGAUUGGCAUCAAUUAACAAAGCCGAUUGGAGAAGUAAGAUGGAUGUUUACAAGAGAUGGGUUUGAUCUGUGAAUCAAGUGUCUGAUUUGAGCAAGACGUUGUGUUUCAAGGUCGGCUGAAACCAAGAGCUGCAAGUGGAUGAUUUCUUGAGUUGAUUACAAAGGAUGGUCCAAUCCUUGAAGACCUUGGAAACAGAGUAUAAUUAGCUGAUUUUGUAUCAUGGAUUGGUACUGGGAAUGAGAGGUUAAAUUAUCUUAUUGCUGGAGAUUCAGAAGGUGAUUAUGUGAUUGAGGAGAUUCUUCUCAUCCUCGCAGUUAUUCAUAGAACAAGGUUAAGCUGGGACGCGUAAGAAGAGCAUCUUCAAAGACAAUAUAUGUGUUUAUGUGCAGAAUGGAAGAAGAAUCUGUGAAUCAUCUUUUUCCGCAUUUUCAGAUUGCAAGGGAAUUUUGGUUCUCUCAUACUUCAAAUUAGGGAUGCGCACUGGGCUUUCCGCACAGUAUGAUUGAUAUGGUCUGGUUCUGGGUAUCUUUUGGUUUAUCAGCGAAAGGGAAGAUAGUAUGGAAUUUCAUUCCAUCAGCUGCAAUUUGGGUGCUGUGGAAUCAGUGAAACAAGAGAAUUUUUGAGGAUAAAUGCGCGUUCAAAACGAAUUCGGACUUGGGCCCUUGCCACUAGUUCUAACCUACAUAUUAACUCUUCUAGUUCAGUUCUAGAUUGGCCAUCAGUAUUCAUGGUACUUUCUUGCAGUUUGCUCUUUAUAGCUACUACUUGUAGGUGCUUGUAAUUUUUUUAAUGGAAUCUUCUCUUCUGAUUUAAAAAAAAAAGGUUAAGCUGGGAUCGCCAGUGUGGUUCCAUGAAGCUGUGAUAGGAAACACACUCGCACUAUCUGAGUUUACGCGGAUGCUUUCUCAAUUUACUUUGCUACUUUGCGAAAGUUAAAUUGAAGGUGAAGCGGAUGCUUUGAUUACUUAUUGAUUUUUUUUCAGGUCUUAUUUGGAUACUCAUUUAUGUGCAUUGUGGAUUGUAUAUGCAGCAAUGUGCAUUCUGUUCUUUAACUCUUGGGGUGUAAUUAGCAACUUGCCUUGUGUUAGGGCAAACAUAUAUACUUCUGCUUUGAUCUGUA